GACAUUCUGUGGCAGAAAAGAAUGAAGGAAAGAACAGUUAAAAACCAGCCACUAUCAAACAAUGAUAGUUCAAAAUUUCUACCUUUGAGAAAGGCACAGCAACUUUCAAGGGGGUCAUAUCUUCAAACAAAAGGAUUGUUCAGGAUCAAAUACACUUUCAGGCAAAGGAUUUCAACUUGCUCACUAAUUUUCUUCUUUAUAUUGUUCUCCCCAUUUUACGUGGUCUUCGGUUAGAAAGAAGCCAGGUGCUGUCUCUAAAGCAGUGCUGCAAUGACAGCAGGAAGAGCUGAGGGAGCCGGUUUAAUGCAGCCUUUACAAACAACCUGAGGAGCUCAGGCAAUCGCUGCUGCCUUUCAGCACAGUGGUGGCUUUUGCUGUAACCUCCACUAAUGGGUGACUGUCUUUGAUAGAUCUUUCGAAGUCCAGUUAAAGCAGCAAAAUUCUCCUUGACAGCAAACACAGCUUUGUUUUUUUGAAACAUUUUUUUGGUACAUUAUCACAUAGAUCAUUCACAAACUGGACUUACUUGGGUCAGUGAUCCAGAAAACAGCUUAUCCAGUUAGACUUGAGCUUUGCCCAUUAAACUUUGUCUCAAAAUCUGAGUAUGUUUACAACAGAGAAACCUUUCAGUCAUGCUUACAGUACCAGCCAUCUACUGCUUAUAUCUGAAAGGAAAGCAAUCCAGCAUCCCUCUACAUGGGGUAAUCAAAUGGAGAAACAAUCGAGUCAAACUCAAGACAUCCCUGCUUCUUUUUGCCCUUUGUUACUCCAAUGAGGAAACUGCAACUCUACAAGUGAAGAAAAAUAACAGUUCACAAGAUAUUCCUCCAUCCAGUGUUGGAACUGCCAAUCUGUGCCUAUUUGUGCAGGGAUUGUGAGCAACUCCAACACAGACCAUGGGCAUGGUUUAGAUUUAUGAAUGGACACAAAGGGCCUCCACUCAAAGAAAUGGGAACAUAUAAAGAAUGGCUGCUAAAAGGGUAAAAUAUACGUGCAAAUGGUCAUUCCUGAAAAGCAACAUUCAGUGCUGAAAUAGCCCUGGAGUUACCGUGGCAGAGAAUGGCACAGCUCUCACCUUGCUUCACACACUGCUUUUAACCCAAUCUUAUUUCAAGUGUCAUUGUCCAAAACGCCCUGACCAACUGUUUCAAGGUGACACUGGAAUGCUUGGAACUUCUUUUUCACUUUUAUUUUUUGAUGUAUAUGUGUGAAAUCAUUCUUAACUGUUGCUAACAAAGAGUUGGUAUUUUUUUCUAUUUCUGUAUGAAAGACUAGCCCUCCUUUUUUUAUAUAAGCACAUACACUUUCACUCAUUGUAUUUGACCUAAACCUUCUGUUUUUAUUUGACACUUUAUUUAUGUAUAAAAUUUACUAUAUCAAGAUAUUAUAAGUCAAUAGAAGAAGCAUUUACAUUAUAAUGAGCAUGCAGCUAUUUCAACCUGAUUGACCUUGUUACAGCUUGUCAUUCAAUUUUUUAAUUAAAAAGAUGCAAUUUUGUUUCUAUAGAACACCCAAGGAAGAUGAAAUUCUGAGCCAAAAAUAAACCAAAACUCCUCUGGAACUCAUAAAGAAACGUCUUAUCAUAUUCCAGUGUGAAAGGUCAUUGAUUUACUGCCUCUGACUAAUUAUAAUAACUUGAAAAACAGAAUGUUUCUUACCUUCAUUAAUAUUUUUCUUUACUAUAGGGAUAGAGGUCUGAGACUUGGACAAAACAAGGAAGGUCAUAAAUAGAGCAUCAUUCUUUCACUCCUUUGAGAAUCUACUGAAGUCUUCAGAGAAGCAAGUCAUUUAAGAAUGUGCUUAAAUGUCCCUUGUCACUAAAGAACAUCCACAUUCUUCUCUUUUCUUGGAGAUUUAGGUAUCUUUUUGCUGUACUUGGUUGAAUUGAGGAAUCAUUCUAAAUUCAGAGAUAGAACAGAAUUUGUACUGUAAGACAGGGAAAUAUAAAAAAAAAUUCCAACUUGCUCAUAAAAAAGAAUUUUAGGAUUAUUUGUUGACUUUGUAUCAGGGAUGAAAGAAGAUUUGAUACAAGAAUACUGCUUUGACAAUGGUGCUUUGCACUGAGGAUUGCUUCUUGAGCUUUUCUUUCCAGAGUCUGAUACCUAUGAAUAGCCCUCCUUUGUGGUGGCAAGUUCUCAAAAGCAGCUGUUCCUAUCAAAAUGGUUUUGGGAUCAGUAUUUCAAGGAGCAAAGGAUAUACUACAACUGUUUUACCUAAUCAAGCCAAGCCCAGCAGUGUUCAGCAGGUGAUGCCAAAGAGGUGUUACAGAUGUUGUGACCAGUUAUAUUGUUAUAUUCUUAUUACUUUCUACAGAAUUUUAUAAUCAUUUUUCAAACAUUAAUCCAAGACAUUAAAUCAAGAAUUGCACUUGAAGUUUAAAAAUAAACUCAGGACUGUAAAUGUUCAUAUGUGUUAAUAAUAAUGUCGCCAACCCAAACUAAGCAGAACCAAGUGUAGCAUCACCUGGCAUAUGAAAUUCCUGAUCUGAGUGAAGCCCUCAGAAGUCAAUAUCAGUAAGUCUGUCUGCUGACAUAAGCAAGCUUGCCAAACACCAAACCAAAUGUGGGUCAUUCUGAAAGCUAUUUUUUUUCUGGUUUCUCCUGGAAAACUGCAUUGUGGCACUUUUAUUUUUUCCCCAAGAGUCAAUUAAAAAAUGAAUGCAGGAGGAAGGAUUUUUUGCUGAAGGAAGUAUCUUCUUGAUCCUAGAUGAUUACAGAUUUAAUGACUCAUUUCAUUAGCUGACACUGCUCCGAAUGGCUUUUGUUAAGAAACUAUCAAUCACUGCUGGAAAUUCAGCUUCAAGUAUUUGCAAACAAUUAACGGCCAAGAUGGAUGACAGGGGAUGGAGAGGAAGGACGUGGCAGGAGGUGCUAUGAUGUUGUAGAGCCUGUUGUCUGCAACCAGAUGUCCAUUGCUCAGCCCAUUCCACAGGCUCUCCGCAGUGAUUUCCUGCAGAGCACAAACCAACGAAGGGACCUUUGCCUCGGGGCUGCACCUACAAAGCCGUGAACUCUCCAGCAUCGUGCAUUUACCUCCAGCAAAGGGACACCUUGUCAUCCACUGUCACUGAAUGACAUCCAAUUCAUCCUUGCCACUAGAUGACAGCACAGCAACACACAUCCAGGAAGGAACCUGUAUUUUGCUAUGGGUUAAGACUUCCUGGAGACACAGGUUUCAGGAAUUUUAGGACUAGCCCCAUAGAGGCAAGAGAUGACAUGGAAUUUCUGUGACUUUGGACUUCUCCAUCCAACAUGAGUGAUGAGAUGGAACUUGCUGAGCAGGACAAAAGCCUCACCAGCACUGGAAGGCUCUGCAGCUGGAUGGUUUCCUGGUGUUUGUACAGGUAAAGUAGAAAGUAGGAGAAGGUGGAGGCCAGCAACCCUCAAUGCUAAAACAUGGACCUAGCUACUAAAUCCAAAUGUCUGAGGAAGGUAUUUGGUGCAAGAAGAAAUUAGGAUCCUUUUGAGAUCAGAUGUCUUCUGAUGUUUCAGUUUCACAAGUCUUUUUUCCUGGGACUUCAGGAGCAGAGUAGACCUUUACAUAUUCUACAGCUCUAUGAAGAUAUUGGAAGAUUAAAGAACACUGGUACUGAUGAAUGCUUUGGACUGAAAAACACUGAUGAUUCUGUCAUUAUUUCAUGAACACUUCUUGACACACUCAGGAUUUCUGGUAAAAUACUUUUGUCAGAUGUUCUGAUGAGAAAUUAAAGAUAACUAAGGGAAAAAACCCUAUGAAUUCAAUUUCAUGAACAUGAAUUCUGGAGCGUUGAUGCAAACAAGCAUCUUCCUUUCUUCUCUUUUUCUCCACUCUAAUCAUUACUAAUGUUGCACUUUUCUUCCAAAAAGAGAAAGAAGAGGGCUACCACACAAACAAAUCCCUGCUCCAAACUUCUAUAAUCCAGCCCACUUCCUGUGGGAAGUGCAGGGAGGUGGAAUACAUGAUCUAUUGAGAUUCUCUUCAAUUUCUUUCUUAAGAAUUCUUAAGAAAUCUUCAGAUUUCUUUCUUAAGUCAUUGUAGUCCUUGAGUUUGAAUUAAUGCAAUGUUUAUUUAUAUUAAUUCUUCACCCCUUAAGAAGGAAGAUAUAGGAGUAGGUCAAUAUUCCUGUGCCACAAGACAGGCCUCUACACCGGACUCUAAGGAAAAGAGUCUCUCAUGGUAGAAUAAUCUAGAAGUAAUUAACUGUUCCUUCAAAUGAAGUCUUGGAAUGGUCUCCCAUAUUUGUGCGAGCACUCUACCUUGAGGAUAUUUUGAGAUCAAUCACAGUCUCUUUCCUUUCCUCUGCCCUUUCCCAGAAAUUUCUGAACAUAAGACUUUAAAUUUGCUUGUCAAAAAUAUGGUACAUUCCUGAGAAGACUUUUGCUUUUGAAAACCAUACUUUUCCAAGAAACAGUCUUGUUCCCAAAUUUUUUCCAGUCAACAGGUGGGGAGAAGGUUUAUGGUUUUCUGUGUGGCAAAAAAGAAAGGAGGAAAAACUGUGGAUUUAAUUUCAGUGUAACAUUUUAAACCACCCCCUAGCCUGCCCUCCCCCCCCAAUAAAGAACCCCCAAAAUCCUGUCCUGCUUAUCUGUCCUUUCUUAAAUGUGCACAUGUCUAGUCCUGAAUUAUUAGAGUGCUUUCCUCCACGUUUGGUCAGUCCCUGAUAAUUAGUGCUAUUGCAUAUGUGUGAUGGUGACACAACAGGACUGCAAUAUAUUAGCAUUUUGUGACCAAUUCUUUAACAUGUUUACCAUUUUCCUCAUAAUUCUGCUUUCUUUCAAAGGGUAAGGAGAAAUUACAGCCCACUGAGAAAAGGAGGAGAGAAUAGUUUUGUGUGGGCAGAGAAUAAGUGUAUUACAGGACUUUGUGAUUUUCUUUCAUCUAUUUUUUUCUAUUUGAUAAUAGAACUGGUUGAUACCAUACAGGGCAUACUUUAUCAUGGGCAAAAAAUGUGUAGGAGAAGAAACCCCAAGCAUGCCAUUAAUUGCUUAUAAAUACAUGUUCUCAACACUUGCAAUCAGCCUUCAGGAUUUCUAACCUCUAAGUUCUGUUCAAUUCCUGCAUUUGAAUAAAAUUAUCAACUUGUAUCUUUUCUAGCAUGAUUAAACACAUUGCUUGCAGGCAGGUUAUGAUUAAAUAGGAAAGAUUUGCAUUUUUUGAAGUACACAGCCUCUGUGUCUCUCUGUAGGUGUGUCUCUGCCUAUCCAUGUCCCAGUAUAAACUUCCAUAUGUGUGCAUACACACAUGAAUGUGUGUGUCAAGUGGGGAGCAGGAAAGAGGAACUAAAGCUAAGUUACAAAGCUGGAAUGAUUUAGAUGUUCAGGCCAGAUUCUUCAGUCUUCUGCACCCAAUUGCAUCCAAUGUAACAUCCAUAAGAAUUCAAGAUUCACUCAUUUCUCAGGGAAGUUUAGAUCCAAGAUACUGAGCCUUUCCCACUCUUACAAACACAUAGCUUGAGGAGCUCAGCUGGAGGUUGUUGUUUCUUUCCUAGAAGAUCUGUGUUUUAAAAGCAAGUAGGAAUAAGAAAUGAAACUCAGCUUGCUGAAAGCUUUUUCUUUAGACAGUCAUGCCUUGCAUAUGUAUGGUUGCACCUGCAAACAGUAUAGGAAUAUUUGUGCAGGCCUAUUGAAAAGCUGGCCAUAAAAGUAAUUUUCCUCACAGCCAUGGCUAUAAAAAAAUUUCCUUACCAAAAUUUUACAUGCUUUUAUAUCUGUUUUUAUUUCCCUUAUUAUUUACUACCAUUCUGCUUUCCCGCCCACCCUACACAGUACCAGGGCCGUGCUUGAGAGAGACACAAACAUUCUCUCAUGUUAUGAUCUGAUGCUAUAAUGUGUUCUGGUACUGCAGUAAUAAAUGAGAAAAUUAGUGCCAGUAGUAGAACAUAUCAGUACACAACAGGAUAAACCACGAGCAAUGGCAGAAAGGGAAAUAUCUCUUGUCUGUUCUGUGGUAAUUGUGAAUAAGGUGGGCACUUCUGCUGAUCAUGUGCCUGCCUAACUUCACUCUUCCAUCACUUGUCUCGUUUAACACUGAUGCAACACCACUUUUGAAUUAAGAUCAACUGCCAUUGGUAAAAACAAGGUAAAGUUAAGCCUCCUCUAUCUAAAUAUCAUCCAGUAGAUCUUCUUUUCCUCAAAAUCUCUACCUUUUCUCUGCCUGUGGCCAGUUAAGUAGGAGGCUUCUUGUUCUUCUAGGGCAGGACAUUUAAUUUGCUGUUGCUGUUCAUUUUGUCAAUCAGCUUCAAGGGCUGCACUGUCAGUUACAGUCCCAGAGAGCCAAAAUGCAGAGAAAGGCCAUGUGACCAUUUGCAUUUGCACUUCCAUCAUGAGAGUCAGGAGUUUAUCACGUUAAUAAGAUUGUGGUAAGAAGAAUGCUAUCUAAGUAUGACAAAUUCUAAUGUCUUAGGAUCCACACUAGGACAGUACAGCCUUUGUCUUCAUUCAUGGACUUGCAUUACAGCACUGAUGAGAGACUCUACUGUACUGCUCAGCAGAGACACUUGCAAUGUAAAUAGCAGGACAGACAAAAGAGAGGAAAAAGCAGAAUCUUUAUUCUAGUCAGGCCUUCUGGGUCUCCAUGAGAUUAAAUGAUCUCUCCAAGGCUGUACAAGUAGUCUGUGGCUGUGACAGUUUUCUGUACUUCAUAGUAAUUUGUAAACCUCUGUGCCACAACCAACAAGUUUUCAAGUUGCCUUUUGAUCUGUAUUUCAUACUGAGAUCUUCUGCCUCAAAAUAAGGUCAUGGCUACUCAACUUUGAGGAAGUUUGAUGCCUUUCACCAUGGUUACCACACCUGGGAAAUACUGAGCAGUUUAAUUUUCUGAUUUGUCUCACUCACAGUUCUGCCCACAUGGACUGCAGCACGGUGGUGGGGCACCAAUUUACCCUUCAGGCAUUCUCCUGGCUUUGCAACCUGUUAGUGCAAAUGGGAUUCUGCCUUUUGUCUUCUGGAAUUUGUGAUUCUGAUACUACUCAGCAGGAGUCAAUGAUCCUUUGUGGCAAAAAAAUUAUAAAUAUUUAACCUCGUCUAUAACAGGACAUUUACCAAGAUUCAAGUCCUUAAAAUUAAGGACUAAGAGUAGUUCUGAAAAUGUAUUUGAUAGACACAAAGCAAAAAGAUUUCAGAAAAGUCAUGUAUGCUGUAACACCACUGAUUUCAGGAAAAUUGUGCCAAGUAAAUUUGGCCCAUUUGCUUCUCUCUUAUGUGGGGGGUAAGGGAUACUCAAAACUGACAGUCAGAAAGGACUAACACAUUCACAGAUAAUUCAUAUGAAAGGAGCUUGACUGUACAGUUGAUUAGGAAGUAGAAAUGACUGUAGCUGGACAAGAAAAAUCCAGAAUUAUUUUGGUACUUGCGUGGACUGCACUUAGAAUGUUUGGGAAUAGCAUCCAUAAGGUGCUAAAAUUCUCUAAUAAGCCAAAUGUGUAUUUGGGUAUGUCGGAAAAUCAGUUGAAAAGACUAAGAAAAGGUGGUUACACAUAUGGGGCAAUGCUAGCAUGACAGAUGGUAUUUGUUUUAUUUAUGCCUUCACAACUGUGUUUAUGUUCUUUCAAUAAGCCUGUCUGGGUGGAGUCUUGCAGAGAGGUUGUACAGGCUCCUUCCUCAGGGAAGCUGUGGAGUGUGUUGAGAUAGAAACAAUUCCAGGCUUCAUGGGGCCAGCAAAAGAGAUACAGAAUGAAGAUGAUGGCUUGAAGCUCAUGCAAAGACACUGCAGAGAUGAGGAGGGUGAAACCAGGCAAAUCUCACAACAGAUGUUCCUUUCCAAGGAGCAAGAGAACAGAAUUUGCUCAGUGACUUAGGAAGUCAUGAAGUUAACUGGGAUCAUCCAACAACCUUCAAGGACAGAGGGACAUGGGACAGCUACAUACAAAACCUUGUAAUGCAGUUCUGUCUCCCCCAACCUGUUUUAAAUAGCAUUUAAUAAAAAAGUUUCACUUCUA
Molecule: long non-coding RNA, 7915 nt
Organism: Parus major (Great Tit)
Lineage: Eukaryota; Metazoa; Chordata; Aves; Passeriformes; Paridae
Exons: 2
Source: RefSeq, a predicted model, not a curated record